CUACGUGCCAGCAGCCGCGGUAAUACGGAAGGUCCAGGCGUUAUCCGGAUUUAUUGGGUUUAAAGGGAGCGUAGGCUGGAGAUUAAGUGUGUUGUGAAAUGUAGACGCUCAACGUCUGAAUUGCAGCGCAUACUGGUUUCCUUGAGUACGCACAACGUUGGCGGAAUUCGUCGUGUAGCGGUGAAAUGCUUAGAUAUGACGAAGAACUCCGAUUGCGAAGGCAGCUGACGGGAGCGCAACUGACGCUGAAGCUCGAAGGUGCGGGUAUCGAACAGGAUUAGAUACCCUGGUAGUCCGCACAGUAAACGAUGGAUGCCCGCUGUUGGUACUUGGUAUCAGCGGCUAAGCGAAAGCAUUAAGCAUCCCACCUGGGGAGUACGCCGGCAACGGUGAAACUCAAAGGAAUUGACGGGGGCCCGCACAAGCGGAGGAACAUGUGGUUUAAUUCGAUGAUACGCGAGGAACCUUACCCGGGCUUGAA
This 481-nucleotide ribosomal RNA is filed under the name uncultured bacterium. RNAcentral's name for it is "bacterial SSU rRNA". It matches the Rfam family "Bacterial small subunit ribosomal RNA", at positions 501 to 985 of the family's 1533-position model. The record is from RNAcentral.